UACAGAGGUGGCAAGCGUUGUUCGGAAUUACUGGGCGUAAAGGGCGCGUAGGCGGCCAUCUAAGUCAGACGUGAAAUCCCCCGGCUUAACCUGGGAACUGCGUCUGAUACUGGAAGGCUUGAGUAUGGGAGAGGGAUGUAGAAUUCCAGGUGUAGCGGUGAAAUGCGUAGAUAUCUGGAGGAAUACCGGUGGCGAAGGCGGCAUCCUGGACCAUUACUGACGCUGAGGCGUGAAAGCUAGGGGAGCAAACGGG
This 253-nucleotide ribosomal RNA is filed under the name uncultured bacterium. RNAcentral describes it as "partial 16S ribosomal RNA". It matches the Rfam family "Bacterial small subunit ribosomal RNA", at positions 524 to 776 of the family's 1533-position model. The record is from RNAcentral.